Molecule: ribosomal RNA, 498 nt
Filed under: uncultured bacterium
Lineage: Bacteria
Description: partial 16S ribosomal RNA
Rfam family: Bacterial small subunit ribosomal RNA
Source: RNAcentral
AUUGAACGCUGGCGGACUGCUUUACACAUGCAAGUCGAACGGCAGCACGGACUUCGGUCUGGUGGCGAGUGGCGAACGGGUGAGUAAUGUAUCGGAACGUGCCCAGUCGUGGGGGAUAACGUAGUGAAAAUUACGCUAAUACCGCAUACGAUCUAUGGAUGAAAGCGGGGGAUCGCAAGACCUCGCGCGAUUGGAGCGGCCGAUAUCAGAUUAGGUAGUUGGUGGGGUAAAGGCCCACCAAGCCAACGAUCUGUAGCUGGUCUGAGAGGACGACCAGCCACACUGGAACUGAGACACGGUCCAGACUCCCACGGGAGGCAGCAGUGGGGAAUUGGACAAUGGGCGAAAGCCUGAUCCAGCCAUUCCGCGUGCAGGAUGAAGGCCCUCGGGUUGUAAACUGUUUUUGUACAGAACGAAAAGGUUUCUACUAAUACUAGGAGCUCAUGACGGUACUGUAAGAAUAAGCACCGGCUAACUACGUGCCAGCCGCCGCGGUAA